AAAGAAGGCGGGCGGCAUGCCUAACACAUGCAAGUCGAACGAGACCUUCGGGUCUAGUGGCGCACGGGUGCGUAACGCGUGGGAACCUGCCCUUAGGUUCGGAAUAACUCCCCGAAAGGGGUGCUAAUACCGGAUAAUGUCUUCGGACCAAAGAUUUAUCGCCUUUGGAUGGGCCCGCGUUGGAUUAGCUAGUUGGUAGGGUAAAAGCCUACCAAGGCGACGAUCCAUAGCUGGUCUGAGAGGAUGAUCAGCCACACUGGGACUGAGACACGGCCCAGACUCCUACGGGAGGCAGCAGUGGGGAAUAUUGGACAAUGGGCGAAAGCCUGAUCCAGCAAUGCCGCGUGAGUGAUGAAGGCCUUAGGGUUGUAAAGCUCUUUUACCCGGGAUGAUAAUGACAGUACCGGGAGAAUAAGCUCCGGCUAACUCCGUG
RNAcentral lists this ribosomal RNA (433 nucleotides) under uncultured bacterium. RNAcentral's name for it is "partial 16S ribosomal RNA". It matches the Rfam family "Bacterial small subunit ribosomal RNA", at positions 31 to 507 of the family's 1533-position model. The record is from RNAcentral.